AUUGAACGCUGGCGGCAGGCCUAACACAUGCAAGUCGAGCGGAUGAAGGGAGCUUGCUCCUGGAUUCAGCGGCGGACGGGUGAGUAAUGCCUAGGAAUCUGCCUGGUAGUGGGGGAUAACGUCCGGAAACGGGCGCUAAUACCGCAUACGUCCUGAGGGAGAAAGUGGGGGAUCUUCGGACCUCCCGCUAUCAGAUGAGCCUAGGUGGGAUUAGCUAGUUGGUGGGGUAAAGGCCUACCAAGGCGACGAUCCGUAACUGGUCUGAGAGGAUGAUCAGUCAACCGGGACUGGAAACACGGCCAGGCCCCCUAGGGGGGGGAGCGGUGGGGAAUAUUGGACAAUGGGGGAAAGCUUGAACCAGCCGUGCCGGGGGGGUGAAGAAGGUCUUCGGAUUGUAAAGCCCUUUAAGUGGGGAGGAAGGGCAGUAAGUUAAUACCUUGCUUUUUUGACGUUACCAACAAAAAAACCCCCGGCUGCUUUCUU
RNAcentral lists this ribosomal RNA (483 nucleotides) under uncultured bacterium. RNAcentral describes it as "partial 16S ribosomal RNA". It matches the Rfam family "Bacterial small subunit ribosomal RNA", at positions 30 to 506 of the family's 1533-position model. The record is from RNAcentral.